RNAcentral lists this transfer RNA (72 nucleotides) under Camelus bactrianus (Bactrian camel). It matches the Rfam family "tRNA". From Rfam's summary of the family: Transfer RNA (tRNA) molecules are approximately 80 nucleotides in length. Their secondary structure includes four short double-helical elements and three loops (D, anti-codon, and T loops). Further hydrogen bonds mediate the characteristic L-shaped molecular structure. tRNAs have two regions of fundamental functional importance: the anti-codon, which is responsible for specific mRNA codon recognition, and the 3' end, to which the tRNAs corresponding amino acid is attached (by aminoacyl-tRNA synthetases). tRNAs cope with the degeneracy of the genetic code in two manners: having more than one tRNA (with a specific anti-codon) for a particular amino acid; and 'wobble' base-pairing, i.e. permitting non-standard base-pairing at the 3rd anti-codon position. Lineage: Eukaryota; Metazoa; Chordata; Mammalia; Artiodactyla; Camelidae. The record is from Rfam by way of RNAcentral. RNAcentral also lists the same sequence under 2 other names.
GAGGGUGUAGCUCAGUGGUAGAGUGCAUGCUUAGCAUGCAUGAAGUCCUGGGUUCAGUCCCCAGUACCUCCA